RNAcentral lists this unclassified non-coding RNA (293 nucleotides) under Martinezella lusitana. Its description in RNAcentral is "Rhizobium lusitanum Long range pseudoknot". Lineage: Bacteria; Pseudomonadati; Pseudomonadota; Alphaproteobacteria; Hyphomicrobiales; Rhizobiaceae. The record is from RNAcentral.
AAGAUGAAGGCGAUCGGCCGUUUCUUCGAGGAAGGCGACAAGGUGAAGGUGACCUUGAAGUUCCGUGGCCGCGAAAUGGCCCACCAGGAACUCGGCAUGAAGCUUCUUCAGCAGGUCAAGGAAGACACGAUUGAGAUCGCCAAGGUGGAAGCCGAGCCCAAGCUCGAAGGCCGUCAGAUGAUGAUGGUGCUUGCGCCGAAGUGAGGCGCAGGUUGGAGUAAGAGGUCGGAGCCGUCCCAUUGGGCGGCUUUUUCCUUUUUUGCAGCAAUGUCGAUGCCUGUCAUCGAUCUGCA